This 107-nucleotide small nuclear RNA is filed under the name Prolemur simus (greater bamboo lemur). The record is from RNAcentral. Lineage: Eukaryota; Metazoa; Chordata; Mammalia; Primates; Lemuridae.
GUGCUCACUUCAGCAGCACAUAUACUAAAAUCGGAAUGAUAUAGAGAAGGUUAGCAUUGCCCCUGAGCAAGGAUAACACACACAUUUGUGAAGUGUUCCAUAUUACA